CCCACGCCACUAUGCUAUCUCUAACUCUGCCAUCCAGACCGAGCAAACGUACUUAAGACCUUUGUGUAAGAUCAGAAAAUCAUAAGACAGCAUUAAAAGUACUAUACAGGAGGAGAUGGAACAAGAUGGCCAAAUAGAAGCCUCCAGCAAUCAUCUCCCCCAAAGGAAUUGAACAACUAUCAAAACAAAAUUGAACAACUAUCUAAACAAAAAAAGUACCUUCAUAAAAAGCAAAAAUCAGUUGAUAUUAUGGAUUCCCAUAAGGAUUCAUGUCUUCUAUUCACUUUAAUGAACAGUUGUAGGGCAACAAUUCUAGAAGAGUUCCAAUUCUCAUCAGGAGAAUGGACAAGGUGGAGAAGCAGAGAAAAUGCAAUGAGUAGAAUGUCUAAGUCAUCACUUUGGAAUUGACUGAACAUAAAUAAAAAUGAGAAAGAUACGUAAAAAAGAAGGGAAUGGAUGCCACAGCCCCCAUUUUGCCAACGAGGCAGCUGAGGUUCCCAGAGGCUCAAUACCAGCACCAUGGGCGGCAGCACGCAAGGCAAACACAGCCGGAGCCACCACAGCGGCCUCGAGUACGCCGACCCCGAGAAGUUCGCGGACUCGGACCAGGACCGGGAUCCCCACCGGCUCAACUCGCAUCUCAAGCUGGGCUUCGAGGAUGUGAUCGCAGAGCCGGUGACUACGCACUCCUUUGACAAAGUGUGGAUCUGCAGCCAUGCCCUCUUUGAAAUCAGCAAAUACGUAAUGUACAAGUUCCUGACGGUGUUCCUGGCCAUUCCUCUGGCCUUCAUUGCGGGAAUUCUCUUUGCCACGCUCAGCUGUCUGCACAUCUGGAUUUUAAUGCCUUUUGUAAAGACCUGCCUAAUGGUUCUGCCUUCAGUGCAGACAAUAUGGAAGAGUGUGACAGAUGUUAUCAUUGCUCCAUUGUGUACGAGCGUAGGACGAUGCUUCUCUUCUGUCAGCCUGCAACU
This 971-nucleotide small RNA is filed under the name Pan troglodytes (chimpanzee). RNAcentral describes it as "processed transcript". The record is from RNAcentral. Lineage: Eukaryota; Metazoa; Chordata; Mammalia; Primates; Hominidae.